GUGGGGAAUAUUGGGCAAUGGGCGAAAGCCUGACCCAGCAACGCCGCGUGAGGGAAGAAGGCCCUCAGGGUUGUAAACGGCUUUGACGGUGAAGAAUCGACAGGAUGCGUCCUGUUUUGGCGGUAGCCGUUGAAUAAGCACCGGCUAACUCCGUGCCAGCAGCCGCGGUAAUACGGAGGGUGCGAGCGUUGUCCGGAUUUAUUGGGUUUAAAGGGUGCGUAGGCUGGAAGGUCAGUCAGCGGUGAAAAGCUGUCGCUUAACGAUAGUCUUGCCGCAGAUACUUCCUUUCUUGGAUGAGGAGGAGGCCACUGGAACGGAUGGUGUAGCGGUGAAAUGCAUAGAUAUCAUCCAGAACACCGAUUGCGAAGGCAGGUGGCUGUACCUUAAUCGACGCUGAUGCACGAAAGCAUGGGGAGCAAACAGGAUUAGAAACCCCUGUAGUCC
RNAcentral lists this ribosomal RNA (444 nucleotides) under uncultured bacterium. RNAcentral's name for it is "partial 16S ribosomal RNA". It matches the Rfam family "Bacterial small subunit ribosomal RNA", at positions 354 to 796 of the family's 1533-position model. The record is from RNAcentral.